UGCCAAGUUUAUUCCAAAAAGAUAUAUCAAAGUUUCAUCUUAUCAUGCAAAAAAUAUGGUAAUUAGUUGGAUAUGAAAUUAAAUUGAGCCAACCAUAUUACUGUUUUGUCCUGAGUGAUCCAUUGAACCAAGUAAUCUAAAAUAUUCUUAAUAAGUCAAUGAUAGAUGCAAAGAAUCUGUAUAUAUCCUUCUGGCAAUCAUUAUAUUAGAUACAGUCCAUCACUUAAGGAAAAAAAAAAAAAAUCUCUUUCAUUUAUAUUCUUGUUCAACCUAUCUUUGAAUUUAUUUAUCUAUAUUGUUAAAGCAGAUCUAUCGAGAGAACCUAAACUAAUUCAUUCAUUUAGUUAUUAUUGUCCUUUGGCUUAAUUCUUUUCUAAUUAUAUAGAACUUAACUAUAAUGCAACCUUUAUAGCUACAUGCUUGCUGUGCCGAAUAAUGAAGCAAAGUGAGAAGUUCAUCGCACUAUUUUUAUUAUAUUUUUUAUCACAUGAUUGAUUAAUAAUAUUGCAAUUUUUCUUUAUUGUUUGAUAAAAUAAUUAACUCUCUUUGAAUUUCGCUGCUUAUAGUGUUCCGUCCUCAUAAAGGUAUGUUCGUACCAUUAACUCAUGAUUCAGGAUUCAAUCUGAAAAUUUUAAUCUUUUCUCCAAUAGAUAAAAUAUGGGAGAUUAGAAUUACAGUUGCAACA
This 685-nucleotide long non-coding RNA is filed under the name Elaeis guineensis (African oil palm). Its description in RNAcentral is "long non-coding RNA (EGUI_LNC029572)". The record is from RNAcentral. Lineage: Eukaryota; Viridiplantae; Streptophyta; Magnoliopsida; Arecales; Arecaceae.